This 338-nucleotide ribosomal RNA is filed under the name uncultured Polymyxa. RNAcentral's name for it is "SSU rRNA". The stretch from base 124 to 338 matches the Rfam family "Eukaryotic small subunit ribosomal RNA", at positions 744 to 955 of the family's 1831-position model. Lineage: Eukaryota; Endomyxa; Phytomyxea; Plasmodiophorida; Plasmodiophoridae. The record is from RNAcentral.
GACUUGUGUGCGCCGGAUGCGGCGAUCUGCGGCCAAAAGGUCGUUGCGAUCAGCCCGUCCUGGCGCCGUAAAAUUUGCAACUGGGUCGCCUCUGGUCUUAAUUGGUCGGUGGCGUCUGCUCGGUUGCUCGUUUACUGUGAGAAAAUUGGAGUGUUCAAGGCAGGCGUGGAUUGCAACUGAACAUGUUAGCAUGGAAUAAUAAGAUAAGGCUUCGGCUUUCUCUUUGUUGGUUUCUAAGGCCGAAGUAAUGAUUGAUAGGGACAGUUGGGGGUGCUAGUAUUCAGCGGCCAGAGGUGAAAUUCAUGGAUUCGCUGAAGACUAACUUAUGCGAAAGCAUU